AUGAGGGAUCUAGAAGCGCCCUCGCUGGUGAGGCUGCCGGAGCGCGUGGUGCUGGAGAUCCUCGCGCGCGUGCCCGGCGUCGCCGACCUCUUCCGCUGCGCGGCCGCGCGCAAGCGCUGGCGCGACCUCGUCACCGAGCCGUCCUUCCUGCGCCGCUGGCCGGAGGGCGCGUGCCACUUCUGCUCCCUCGUCGGCUUCCUCGGACGGGAGCGGCGCCGCGGCGGGGAAGGGCUGCCGGGCUCCAGCUUCAUCCGCGCGCCGGGGUCGGUGCUCGGCCCCGGCCGCCCCCUGCUCGGCUCCUUCAUCCCUGGCGCCGCCGGCCUCCUCGACGACCGCGUCAUGCCUCUCGCCUCGCACCGCGGCGUGCUCCUCGUGCGCUUCGGCGCCGGCGCCGAGACGGAGGCGGAGCCAGAGCCCGGCGUCGACCGCCUUGCCGUGUGCAACCUGCUCUCGGGCGCGUGCCACGUACUCCCCCCGCUGCGCUGCGACUGGUUCUUCGACUACUUUGGCAUGAGCGCCCACGCCGUCCUCAUUGGCGCAGACUGUUGCCCCGACGACGGCCAGCAGCAACCGCUAGACCCGGCCUCCUUCAAGGUGCCGGUCAUCGGCGUCAGCGACGACCGGCGGUACUACGUUCUCCUCCGGUGA
This 648-nucleotide ribosomal RNA is filed under the name Triticum aestivum (bread wheat). RNAcentral describes it as "partial small subunit ribosomal RNA". The record is from RNAcentral. Lineage: Eukaryota; Viridiplantae; Streptophyta; Magnoliopsida; Poales; Poaceae.